GAUGAACGCUAGCGGCAGGCCUAAUACAUGCAAGCCGAACGGCAAGUUUGAUAGCAAUAUUGGACCUAGAGUGGCGCAAGGGUGCGUAACACGUAUGCAACCUGCCCGCGACAGGAGGAUAGCUCCCCGAAAGGGGAAUUAACCCUCCAUAACACCAUGAGAAGGCAUCUGAUUAUGGUUAAACCGCAAGGGGUCGCGGAUGGGCAUGCGGUUGAUUAGCUAGUUGGCGGGGUAAAGGCCCACCAAGGCGGUGAUCAAUAGGGGUUCUGAGAGGAAGGUCCCCCACACUGGCACUGGGAUACGGGCCAGACUCCUACGGGAGGCAGCAGUAGGGAAUAUUGGACAAUGGUUGCAAGACUGAUCCAGCCAUGCCGCGUGCAGGAAGAAGGCCUUCUGGGUCGUAAACUGCUUUUUCCUGUGGAUAAAAUACCCGGGCGCGGGGAAUUGAAGGUAACAGGGGAAUAAGCCACGGCUAACUACGUG
This 483-nucleotide ribosomal RNA is filed under the name uncultured bacterium. Its description in RNAcentral is "partial 16S ribosomal RNA". It matches the Rfam family "Bacterial small subunit ribosomal RNA", at positions 28 to 507 of the family's 1533-position model. The record is from RNAcentral.